Ctenopharyngodon idella (grass carp) is the source of this 3150-nucleotide long non-coding RNA. RefSeq lists it as uncharacterized. NCBI's taxonomy places the organism in Eukaryota, Metazoa, Chordata, Actinopteri, Cypriniformes, Xenocyprididae. The record is from RefSeq and is a predicted model, not a curated record. The transcript has 4 exons.
CACCUAGGAUAGCUUGAGGGUGAGUAAAUCAUGGGAUAAUUUUCUCUUUUUUUGGUGAACUAACCCUUUAAUGUCAUCUCAUAAAUAGGGAGUGAAGCCAGGACCGGUGAAUGCUAUGGUGGUGGUGAAGCCCAAACCAGGUGCUAAUUCAGCAAGUGGAAUAAGAUCUGCACUAUACAAGGCCUACAGCGGUGAGCUGCCAGACCAAUGAACCCUGAACCCUAAAGCUGCCUAUGCUGAUUUCAAUCCAGACUCCCUUCCCCUUAUCUGCACAAUGAAUGUCUCACCUGACAAGCCACUUGUGGACUCCAUCUACCAUCCAAGCUGGUCGUAUCCUAUCGUAUCAGCAUCCACCACCUACACCCGAUGGGGUUAUCACCCAUAAGGACGCACCCCCAUUUCCAAAAGUGCCACUAGAGGGCUACCAGUUAAAGCCAACAGAUUGUACACAUGUGCCAACAAACCAGGAACAGCUGCAUCUCAAUUCACUGUCUGUGACUUUGUCACAGUCACACCUCAUAGAAGAAGCAACAAGAAUCCAAAGUGCAGUACCUGAAUGGCAUUCACUGAGGAAGGAGAGGGUGACUGCUUCAAAUUUCAGGGAAGUUAGCCACGUUAGAGGUCCAAAUGCUGCAGAAAACCUAGCUGAGAGGAUCAUCCGAGGGAUGCGACAAACAGCACACAUGAAGAGGGGACUGGAUAUGGAGGCAGGUGCCUUAAACGACUAUGCAACUCUGAAAAACCUAAACUUGAGGAAAUGUGGACUGGUGAUUCAUCCAGAUGCACCUUGGCUGGGUGCGUCACCUGAUGGGCUGGUAUAUGACCCGCUUGAGAGACCAUCAUUUGGCUUGGUUGAACUAAAAUGCCCAAAUGCACCAAGCUACAUUGACUGCAGGUACCUCAAAGCUGACCACGGCAUAUAUAAAUUGAAGGAAAGCCAUCCAUAUUAUUCGCAAGUGCAGGGGCAGUUGCUUAUCACGGGUAUGGAAUGGUGUGACUUUGUUGUCUGUGCCCAUGAUGAUAUGUUUGUGCAGCGCAUUUACAGAGACAUACCUGCCAAAAUACCUCUCUAUGCACAAGUAAAAGAGGAGGCACAGUGCUGAGGAAAUGAAGACAUGAAUUAUACAUGAUUUUACAAAUGUGGUGUUUUAUUUUGUCAGAUCUGUUUAAAGUAUUUGUUUCAAAGUUCUAUAGUUGUUGACAAUUUCAUUUCAAAUUAUGUACAGUAUUUACAGUGAAAUGGCAUCUGAUGCACAGAAGCCAAUGGCACAUGCUGCUGGGCAUGUGCCACCAUCGUGUAACACUGACACUGAGUCACAGAACAUGUUGCAGUAUGUCAUGACGCUUCCAGUAGCGACUGACAGAUGACUUGAGCAGCUAUACUAAAUUAGGCUAUUUAUUUAGGAUUUAAGUCACUAUUAUGACAGUAUAGAUGCUCAAGUCAUCGGUCAGUUGCUACUGGAAGCAUCAUGACAUAUGGCAACAUGUUCUGUGACUCAGUGUCAGUGUUACAUGACAGUGGCACAUGUCACCAUCCACUGAUGCAUGCCAAUGAAGAACGGAAGUGCAACUAAGCAUAGCGACAUUUCUGCCUGUCUGAUUCUGCUUCUACAGCAUUAGCAAUCCCUGGCCCACCCUUUAACUAAGGGCCCAUUUUGGUAGUUAACCAAGAGACAGGCUACUGUAUAAAGUUGGUUAAUGCUGCCUGUGAGUGAAAGAGGGAUCAUGGUGUUGAAUAUCUUGUGCUCUUUCACCCUUCGAAUGAGUCUCUCAACAUGGACUCUCAGUCUUGCUAUCGACUGGGUUUUCCUGAGCUCUGGCCUAGACAGUUGUGCUCUCUUUGACAAGAACGUAGGUAUGUGUAUUUUGCAGGGGAUGAAGUCUUCCACUAGGAAACCUUUAUCGACCAUUAUAGCCAUUGUUGGUUUUAGGAGAGACACGAUACUCGACUGCUUAAGAAUUUCUUUAUCACUGAUGGCGCCCUCAUAGAGGGAUGACACAAAAGUAAGAGCACCGUGAGGGGCAAUUCCAAUCAGCCCUUUGAAGGUGCAGUGUGACUUGUAGGUCGAGAAUACCUCGCUCUGGAGGAGAAGAGAGUUUGGUGUUUGGCACCGCAGUCCAUAGAGGAAGUUAGCCCAUGUGUUGAUGAUGCAGCUUACAGUUGACUGGUGGAUUCUGAAUCUGUGUGCCAGAUCCUUCUGCAUCAGACCCAGUGACAGUGUGAGGAACUUCAUCUGAUACAGCUGCAGUUUGAGCUCUUGUCACCCGUACAAUCUUGCCUGUUGCUGGUUCUAUCUGCCUCCAAAAGGCCAUCAAGUGGGCGUGAGUCGCAAACCUGUGGGACAUAUUUCCUUUGAUAUGUUAAAUGUCCAAAGAACAGGGGUCCUUAAUUCUGGACCUCGAGAUCCACUUUUCUGCAGUUUUGCUCAACCCCAAUCAAACACACCAGAACAAGCUAAUCAAGACCUUCAUGACUACUACAACGUUACAGGUAGGUGUGUUUAAUCCAGGUUAAGGCUAAACUUUGCAGGAAAGUGUAUCUUGAGGUUGAUGACUUUAAUUGACUUAGUUGACUUUAAUUUCUAGCUAUUCUUAACAGCCUGGGUAAUUUUAUAUUAACCUGAUAAACACUUAACACAUUGUCUGCUUACCUUGUGUAAAACCAAAUGUCAUCAUCGGAGGCCGCAAACCGCUCCAAACAGAACUUGCUGUUGAGGGUUAUCUCCUCUAUUUGUUUUCGGAGCUUUGUUAUUUCCACACGUAGAUCUUCAGUGUGCUCCAGGGACAAAUCCAAGGCAGCAGGCUCAGCAGUGGAGCAGUAGUCAUGGUCGUAAGAUUCCGCAUCCAUAGAGGGGGCAUCACCAGUGUGCAAUGUGUCUGUGUUUAAUCGCGUUAUCCUUUCCCAAACUCCGGUCCGUGGGGCUGGAAGAGUGAAGUUAUUCCACUGAAAAAGCACCGGGACAGCGCCAUUCUUCAGACGUCUGCGUCCUGCUGGAGUUUGAGGCUCAAUGAGCUGGUCCAAACAAUUCUGCAGGCUAAAACUGGUGGGGAUGCAAUCUUCAGAGAGUACCAAAAAAACCAAAAGCUCGACUGACAGAACCAGGAGGAAGAUGAUCAGGAUUCUUACUGCAGAUAUGAGAUACCUCUCAG